Molecule: RNA transcript, 6048 nt
Organism: Paramormyrops kingsleyae
Lineage: Eukaryota; Metazoa; Chordata; Actinopteri; Osteoglossiformes; Mormyridae
Gene: snphb
Gene name: syntaphilin b
Source: RefSeq, a predicted model, not a curated record
AGGGCGUAGAGUGAGGGUAGAGGUUUUCAACACUGGAUACAGAAUGGGAAAUGCGUGCGUAUUUUUUGCAGAUAUAUGGUGCAUAAAGGCCUGUCGCCUGCACAGAGUUCUUUAUCCACAUUGAGAGAGAGGCUACCUGCCCCUAUGUCUGCCCCAGCUAACCGGAAGUCCUCCUCAGGAUCACGCAGAUUCAACCCCCUGAAGGCUCUGCAGCCAAAACGGCGUUUGCAGCAAAUGUUGUCCUCCCCUACUGCUUUUGACUAUUGCAGGUUCAUAGAGCUAGACAUUCCAAUGGAGGCAGGCUUAAUGGUUUCAAUGCGGCAAAGUCGUGGAUUUCUGUACCCGGAGCGGCACAAUCGACGGCCUGCGGCCCCGGUCAGCACCAGGGACCCCUAUGGCACCUCCUCACUCAGCAGUAGCUCUGGAUCCUGCAAGGGCAGCGACGGGAGCCCUGUGCCAAGGCGUCAGGUGAAGUACACCUCCUGCAGUGACAACCAUGGCAUCCGUCCACCACCCCCGGAGCAGUACCUCACCCCUCUGCAGCAGAAGGAGGUGUGCAUCCGGCACCUGCGGGCCAAGCUCAAGGAGACCAUUGAGAGGCUGCAGGACAGGGACACUGAGAUUGAUGAGCUAAAGACCCAGCUGUCGCGUAUGCAGGAGGACUGGAUCGAGGAGGAGUGCCACCGCGUGGAGGCACAGCUGGCACUGAAGGAGGCGCGCAAGGAGAUCCAGCAGCUAAAGCAGGUGAUCGACGUUGUGCGGACCAACCUGGGCCAGGCAGACACGGGCGUGCAGAAGUACUUCCAGGACAUCAACAUCCAGAACCGUAAGCUGGAGACGCUGCUCUACAACAUGGAGCUGGCUCAGAACGGCUCGGGCCACGAGGGCGAGGAUGAGGCCGGAGCGGGACCCGGACUGCCUCUGUCUGCGUCCUGCGAGGGCUCACCAGCGCGAUCCCUCACCCGCAGCUCCACCUACACCAAGCUGAGCGACCAGGGGCUGGCCGACAAGAAUGGCAACGGGCCUGACUUCCCGAGCCUGUCGGGGGAGGAGACGCAGGACAGCGGCUGCGUCUGCGGGGAUAGCCGGGCCAGUCGGGCUGACCUCCUGCUGGAGGCCACGCUGCUGUCGGAGGAGACGUCAUCGCUGCUGAGUGUCUGCUCCCGCCUGCCACACUCCUCCACCUAUGAGAAGCUCUACAGCAGUGAGAGGGCACUGCCGCUACGGUGCAGUCGCACCUGCCGCAGCCACCCAUGCCUGUCCCACCACCACCUCUACUUGCACCACCUCAGGGAGCAGGGCAUCCAGACAGACUGCGGUGCCCCUUACAACUGCGACCUGGACACCAUCACGGAGAAGGCCUGCAAGUCCCAGGCCUGCAGCCCUACCUCCAUCUGGCUGUCGGAGGAGGGCGAGGACUUUGACACCAUCACCUCGGUGACCACAACCACCACGGCCGCCGAUCCCACUCCGCUGCCACUGCCCCGGUCCCCCUCCUGCCCCCUGGACCUACCCCCCAUAGAGGACGAAGAGGUGCCCUUGCAGCCCCUACCACCCCAGACCUGCCAGCCCAAAAGCACGUCCCCCCCAGGAGUGACGGUGGUGGUGGUGGAAGAGCAAGAUGAGGGUGGUGGCAUGGGAGCUGCGGUGCCAUCCUCAGCGCCUCCCCAGAAGAGCUACUGGAGCCGGCACUUCCUCGUGGAUCUACUGGCAGUGGCUAUGCCAGUGGUUCCGGCAGUGGCCUGGCUGUGCCGAGGCCCUCGCAGGGACGGCCAGCCCGUCUACCAGAUCGGCUCGCUGCUGCGGGGUUGCUGCACCGUCGCACUGCACUCCCUGCGCCGAGGGGGGGGCACAAGGCACUACCCAGCAGGGGGCGGCGGUGGGCUUGGGGGCAUUCCCAUUUGAACCAGCCCGUACCCUCAGUCCAACGAGUUAUGUCACCUGAAAGAAGCGCACUACUCACCGUAUGACCUCCUCCAGCCAUAAACUGAUCUCUAAUAUCACUUCCCUCGCCGUAUUGGAUUAAAGAGAGACACCAGAGAUUCUUUGGAUCGACGCUGAUUGUAAUACCCAGCCGGAGUGCCGAAGGACAGGUCUCCGCUUCUCUCUUUCUCACUCUUUCCGUCUGCCUGUCUUUGGAAGGUGAUGGUUCUGGUGGCCGGGUUCCCCUGCCCCACCCACUACUCUGUGUCCAUGAGUCCGCGUGAUUUUUUUCCUUUUUUCUCCUUGACCGUCAUCAUCAUGGGGAAACUGAGUGAACAGCUGCCUUGGGCAAAAUAUCACAUAAAAAACCAUAAGCUGCUGCAGCUGUGAGUUUUAGUAAUAGAUAUCUCAGCCUUGUGGUCGUAGAAUUGGUGGUGUCCUAGUCCAUAUUUAUAUAUUAUAACACAUGAUGGAAACACCUUGAACAAAAUAGUACAUGCAUCCUUCCUGGUGCCUAAUAUUGAAGAGGUUCAAAGGGACAAGAAAUGUUAAAUAUUUGUGUUUAUUCCAGGUAUGCUGAAUGACAGUGUUAUGUUUUAUGUUUGUUAGCUUGCUUUUAAUUUUUUUAUGUGAAAAUGGUAACGCUUUAUAUCGAAGAGCCCUACAUAAGACCUUCAUAAUACCUAUAUAAACUGUGUAUCCUACAAGCCAGCACCCCUCAUUUCCCCGGGUCUCUCUUUUCGCCCCUCUUUCUGCUGUACUCCUGUUAUACAAUUUCUCCCGAUUUUACGCAUCCACAUUUUUAUGAUCGUGAGCAGACCCAGCACAGCAGGGGGCGACAAUGCACAUAUAAGUGUAGCAUGCACCAGCAAAUGAAUACAAAAAGAAUGUGUUUGUGUGUGCAUUCCCUCUUCUUUCCUACAUUUACACUUCCAGUUAGCGCGCAAACGUCAGAGAACAGCAAGCUAAAAUGAGUGAGAUGAGUGAGACCAAAAAGAACAGGUUCUCCUGUAAGUUGUAAGUUGUAAAUCAGAUCUUUCAAUUAUAUUCAUUAUGUCUUAAAGUAAUUAUGACAAUGCUAUUUUUUCUUUUUUAUCAGACAUGUCUGAUAAAAAAGAAAAAAUAGCAUUGUAAAUCAGAUAUUUUAAUUUGAGAGCCAAACAUCACAUCUUUUGUAAGCUGCAUUGGACCAACUUCAGCACUGAACAUGAAGGUAAAACCGAUGUGGUUCAUCACACAAAACACAGCUAAUCACAGACAGGGCAAUACAAGCAUAAGUUCUUUCAUCCUAUGAAGUCGUUCUGAGGCAGAUCUGCUUACUGUACUAAAAUCUCCCUAAUUAUCACAACCUAAUACUGGCAGGUGUGCUGUGUGUGCUUUCUCAUUUGUCCCUGUAGGCCUUAUGAAUGCGUGACGCAGUUUAUGAUGUUAUGAAGGUCUCGUGUCACAACUGAAAUGUGAAAUUGUUCUUAUCAGUGAUGCUUUACAGACAAUUCUGACAGAUUUCCCUUUAACCAUCACUCUUUCUUAUUGCCCUAGAAUUAUUAUGCGUUUUUAACUUAUUAUUUAAACUGUUAAACUAUCACUUGUGGAUUUGGGGGGCGGGGGGCUCAUUAGAAAUUUUCAUAAGACAAAUCACAUACCAAAGCAUUUAUUAUCAUCUAAUCAGACACCACUUGGGGGGGAAAACAUUGUUCAAGACCAAGUACUUUUCACUGGAAACCUAUAAUCGAAAAGAGUAUAUUGUUUUAUGUGUGUGGUUGUUCAGUCCUUGUAAUCGCACUAUAAAUCACUUUAUGAAAUUAGCUACUACUUGAAGUUACAUUGCAUGUCUCUAAGAGGACCCCUCAGUGAUAAGGGGAUAAAUGCAUUCUUGUGUAAUAAUUUUUAAAGAAGGCAGGGAAGUUCAGUUUUACAGGGAUGCACAUCUGCAAGGAAAAAUUUUCUCCAAUACCUGAGUUUUUAGAUUAUUGAAUUUAUCUGCAAUAGAAGAAUUUACUAGAUGGCUGUGUCCUAGUUAAUAUUGCACUGGACAUUUCGCCAGCUUCAUGAUUUAUGAUAGUUUUGUUUUUUCCCUCUGAACGCAAAAUAAGUUGCCUUUCAACCUUUUUUUCAUUGUGAGUGUGGCAGUGUCAUGUUUUGGCUUGACAAUCCUUUAGAGCUUUGGGAAACAAUAAUACAGCACAGUCUGUCAGGUGUAGCAAACAUCUCAAACUCAAAUCGCAAGCACUUACAAUGAAACUAUGAAAAGUAUAAUAAACAGUACAAAUGAAUGAACUGAUAAACAAAUAUGGAGCAGUUCUCUCCAAAAGAGAAAUGUUUAAAACCUUUAAAUGAUCUGUAUCCUUUUUAUGGGCUGAAAGUAUGUUUAUCUUGCAUUAUUGGUUUGUGAGUGUGCCAUUUAAUGUGACCCAUGAAAUGUCUCUUAAACUGAUAUGUGAGGUUCACAUAUUUUUUUUGAAAGCCAUAUUCUAACAUAGAUGUUUGUGGUACAGUCAGUGCCAGACCAUGACUUGGUUGCGUACGUCGGACUUGGGUGUUGGUUCUGACCCUCGUCACCUUUGCAGCCCUCUGUGUCUGGCCGCUUCUGUGGAGUCACACUGCUCUGCUGGGCAUCUCACCGGCAUACUGAAGGUCCCUUGGAGCAUUCAUGACUCGUGGGGCUUUCAAGCAGAAUGCAACAGCGCUACUGCAGGACUGGAGGACAAGAUGUCAGUGUGAGAGCGACUCAGCCAAAAUGCUGCUCUGGCAAGCAAGCUCGUUAGCAGACAACCUUGGGGCCAAUCCUAGGAAGCCGGAUUCCCCGCCUUGGGACAGGCUCUGCCUCCCCCGUGACCAUGACAUCGGUAAGCAGUGCAUUGGAUGCAUUUGUAGUUCCUUAGCAGAUCACUGGUACUGGGCAGGGCCUCAAUGACUAAGCAGCUCCAGUCUCUCGGCACAGUGAGUUGUUGGCCACAUGUGCCCUUGCAGUGCUGCUGAGGAGCAGGAAGCGUGGGGUUUGGACCACAGCCCUCAACUGUGAAAGCCCUCACUGCGGGAUCCCCAGCAACAGUGUCAUGCCCUGCAGCCCUUGGUGACAUCAUUUGUUCUGUCCCAUCUCUCUGGUGACAGUAACCAUCAACACGCUGCUCUCACCCCCCUUUCAAGAUGGAUGAACUUGGAUGCGGAGAGCUCAAGCUAUUGCACUUGGAUGUGCCUUUCCCUCUCUGAAUCGAGACAGUAGACCAUCCAGUGUGUACUUCACUGAUCUUGAAAACACUGCUAACAAGGCGUAACAAGUGUUUAGUAAGGGUUUUGAGGUUCUGGCUCUUUGGUUAGCAGGACACGCAUCAAGCGUUGAUGGUGCUCUCCAUCCUCGGCAGCUGUGGUCUGGAAUAGGGUGUCAAACCAGGAUUCCUCCCUUUAGAUGUUCGCUUCAUGCAGCAAAGUGUUUGUCGCUAACUAUUAGUGACAGUUCUGAUAAUUAUAACCUGCAAUCAAGAAUAACAACGACACAGCAGGUGCAACUUUCCAGCAUUAAAUGGUUUAAUCUGGGAGGGCUAUGCCAAACACUUUAAUCCUAUAAUGUUAUAUAACCAUCAAAUUAAUAUAACUACUUAGAACAAUUAGCCUGUUCCUGAUAAUUUUAAACUAAAAUGUGUAACUACUGCUAUUCCUUAGAGUCAUUUACCUGUAUUGUAUUACAUUAAAAACACAAAUUCACAUGCAGGGUGACAAGUCAAGUAUGGUCAGAAAGCGUUGCUGAUCUUUAAUCAGCUUUUGGAGUAUUAAUAUUGAACCAUUACAUGAAUUUCUAUCCCAAGGAUUUAGCUCUUUGUACAACAACAAAUACCAAUUCUUCUUCCUGUCCAUAUUCAAGGACAGCCAGGAACCUCACCUCAGCAGAGAAGUGUGUGAGGUUAAGUACAGGAGUGAAACUUUUUGCUACUAGCCAACUGGGUUAGUACAAUAAAAAAAAAUAGUGUGACAUACAGUUUUACUAGCUAUUGGGCUAGUGUUCAGUUUUCUUGCCUCAGGUGAGAAUUUCCAGUCCUGGUUAUGUUGCCAAGCUGGUGGAACUGAAAAUUUUUCCUGUGACUGUCAUCUGUGGUUGUGUGUGUGUACACAUUCCUUUGUGCGCAGUGU